This 538-nucleotide long non-coding RNA is filed under the name Brassica rapa (field mustard). RNAcentral describes it as "long non-coding RNA (BRAP_LNC002394)". Lineage: Eukaryota; Viridiplantae; Streptophyta; Magnoliopsida; Brassicales; Brassicaceae. The record is from RNAcentral.
UGAUAUUUUUUCCAGUUAUAAAAAAGUUAAAAUUAUAAAUUUCAUAUUAUGUUCUAAAUAAAGUAGAAAUGACAUUCUACGAAGUAGAAAACGAAAUCCACUUUUUUCAUUGAAUCUACAAUGUUUAGAAUACGUGAUCUACGUAAAUAGGAGUAUUCUAAAAAUAUUUAGAAUACACAUUCUGCGCUUAAUCUAUCGUUCUAAAAUCUUUAGAAAUCAAAAUCUACACAUUAAUAUAAAUCUAAAACACGUAGAAAUCGACUUCUACAGAUUUACUAUAAAUCUAAAACAUGUAGAAAUCAAAAUCUAAAUAUUACUAUAAUUCUAAAAAACUUUAGAAACCGAUUUCUACAUAUUAGUUGUAUUCUACGGAUAAGAAAUCAGUUCCUAAAAAUAUGGAAACAAAAUAUUUGGGAAUAUUCACUUUUAUAUUUUGAAAAAAAAAAUCAAUUUUAAAAAAAAAAUAAAAAAACGAAAAAGGAACAAAAAAAUAAAAAAAAAUAAAAAAGGAAUAAAAAAUUACAAUUUUAAGCACAUU